GAUGAACGCUGGCGGCGUGCCUAAUACAUGCAAGUCGAGCGAAUGGAUUAAGAGCUUGCUCUUAUGAAGUUAGCGGCGGACGGGUGAGUAACACGUGGGUAACCUGCCCAUAAGACUGGGAUAACUCCGGGAAACCGGGGCUAAUACCGGAUAACAUUUUGAACCGCAUGGUUCGAAAUUGAAAGGCGGCUUCGGCUGUCACUUAUGGAUGGACCCGCGUCGCAUUAGCUAGUUGGUGAGGUAACGGCUCACCAAGGCAACGAUGCGUAGCCGACCUGAGAGGGUGGUCGGCCACACUGGGGCUGAGACACGGCCCAGACUCCUACGGGAGGCAGCAGUAGGGAAUCUUCCGCAAUGGGCGAAAGUCUGACGGAGCAACGCCGCGUGAGGGAUGAAGGCUUUCGGGUCGUAAAACUCUGUUGUUAGGGAAGAACAAGUGCUAGUUGAAUAAGCUGGCACCUUAACGGUACCUAACCAGAAAGCCACGGCUAACUACGUGCCAGCCGCCGCCGUAA
This 515-nucleotide ribosomal RNA is filed under the name uncultured bacterium. Its description in RNAcentral is "partial 16S ribosomal RNA". It matches the Rfam family "Bacterial small subunit ribosomal RNA", at positions 28 to 523 of the family's 1533-position model. The record is from RNAcentral.